GCCGGGCGCGGUGGCGGGCGCCUGUAAUCCCAGCUACUCGGGAGGCUGAGGCAGGAGAAUUGCUUGAACCCAGGAGGCGGAGAUUGCAGUGAGCCGAGGUCGCGCCACUUCAUUCUAGCCUGGGCAAAAGAGUGAAACUCUGUCUCAA
RNAcentral lists this non-coding RNA (148 nucleotides) under Chlorocebus sabaeus (green monkey). The record is from Rfam by way of RNAcentral. Lineage: Eukaryota; Metazoa; Chordata; Mammalia; Primates; Cercopithecidae.